CUGUAGCUAAUACCGCGUAGAAUCGAGAGAUGAAAGUGUGGGACCUUCGGGCCACAUGCCAUAGGAUGAGCCCAAGUGGGAUUAGGUAGUUGGUGAGGUAAAGGCUCACCAAGCCGACGAUCUCUAGCUGGUCUGAGAGGAUGACCAGCCACACUGGGACUGAGACACGGCCCAGACUCCUACGGGAGGCAGCAGUGGGGAAUAUUGCGCAAUGGGGGCAACCCUGACGCAGCCAUGCCGCGUGAAUGAAGAAGGCCUUCGGGUUGUAAAGUUCUUUCGGUAGCGAGGAAGGCAUUUAGUUUAAUAAACUAGGUGAUUGACGUUAACUACAGAAGAAGCACCGGCUAACUCCGUG
RNAcentral lists this ribosomal RNA (355 nucleotides) under uncultured bacterium. RNAcentral's name for it is "bacterial SSU rRNA". It matches the Rfam family "Bacterial small subunit ribosomal RNA", at positions 157 to 507 of the family's 1533-position model. The record is from RNAcentral.